Molecule: non-coding RNA, 73 nt
Organism: Nematostella vectensis (starlet sea anemone)
Lineage: Eukaryota; Metazoa; Cnidaria; Anthozoa; Actiniaria; Edwardsiidae
Source: Rfam
GCCUCUGUAGCUCAGUGGUUAGAGCACUGGUCUAGUAAACCAGGGGUCGAAAGUUCUAGUCUCUCCAGAGGCU